RNAcentral lists this ribosomal RNA (301 nucleotides) under uncultured bacterium. RNAcentral describes it as "partial 16S ribosomal RNA". It matches the Rfam family "Bacterial small subunit ribosomal RNA", at positions 509 to 809 of the family's 1533-position model. The record is from RNAcentral.
CAGUCGCCGCGGUAAUACGAAGGGUGCAAGCGUUACUCGGAAUUACUGGGCGUAAAGCGUGCGUAGGUGGUUGUUUAAGUCUGCUGUGAAAGCCCUGGGCUCAACCUGGGAAUUGCAGUGGAUACUGGGCGACUAGAGUAAGGUAGAGGAUAGUGGAAUUUCCGGUGUAGCAGUGAAAUGCGUAGAGAUCGGAAGGAACAUCUGUGGCGAAGGCGACUAUCUGGGCCAACACUGACACUGAGGCACGAAAGCGUGGGGAGCAAACAGGAUUAGAUACCCGGGUAGUCCCUGUCUCUUAUAA